RNAcentral lists this long non-coding RNA (999 nucleotides) under Homo sapiens (human). Its description in RNAcentral is "HSALNT0333191". The record is from RNAcentral. Lineage: Eukaryota; Metazoa; Chordata; Mammalia; Primates; Hominidae.
CCCCUGCACAAGCUCUCUUGCUGCUGCUAUGUAAGACAUGCCUUUGCUCCUCCUUCACCUUCCGCCAUGAUUAUGAGGCCUCCCCAGCCAUGUGAAACUGGUCUCAGAAAAUGUUACUGCAAAAUGAAGUCCUCAGAAGCAGCUCUCUCUCUGACCUUCUCCAAACCUCCUGUCUCUGGACCUUCAUUUCCACCCAUCUCCUCCUCCCCACCACCGCCAGGCUGGCCAUGCGUACUAGACUCCCUCUUCCUCAAGGCAGGUCAUGGAAACCAGAAUCCCUUUCCCCAAAGCCAGCCACAAAGCAUCAAAUAUUGUUUCUACUUCCCCCAGCUCCCCUCCAGCCUUUCUGUGUAAACCGUAUAGAAAUUAUCUGACCUACCUGGUUUAAGUGUAGGUCAUAACACUCCCAUUCCAGAGAAGGUCCUGCCCCAUGCCCAGAUGGAACGAUGGAGUACUGCACAGAGUCCAGGAAGGAUCUAAACAGGCCUUGCUGGGCUUCCUCACAGUCUAUUAGCAUUACAUCAUACCCUUUUUGUCUAAUUAUAUUUCUACAGGGCUGUCCAUACUUUGUUGAACCUAAGUAUAAAAAUGGACAAUUUCCCCCUCUACCUUUGGGUCUUCAUUCUGAAGUCUCCUGUGUCACAUAAAACAAGAUCAAAUAAGUGUGUAUGCCUUUUCUCCUGUUAAUCUGCCUUUCUUCAGUGAUUUUCACCAAACCUUCAGAGAUUGAAGGAAAAGUUUUCCCCUGACCCCACACUCCUGCUACCCUGUAUUCCUGGUGGGUUUCUACUCAACAUUCUAGACCCAGUACCAGUACUAUUACGAUUUUAUCUCUGCAAGUUUCCCUACCACCUAACAUAAUUGAAUGUCCGCUCAUCACCUUCUCCCUGGCACUUGCUAUACCUCAGACGUAACAUUUAUCACAUGUGUAUUACUAUAUUUGGUUUUAAGUUUUUUGAAUAAGUAAUACCUUUAUGUGAUUUACAUGUUUAAGUUGCC